GGAGAGGCUGUUUUAAUGAGAAGGUGAAUGGAGGGGCUUCUUUUGAAAGCAGGACGAGAGGAGGGCCACUUCUGAAACUGCGGGCAUAAUGGUGCCAUUCCUUAUCGCAGAUCUGACAGUGCCCGGAGCCUGCUCGCCCCCCUCUCACUCGCUCGUUCUCCGCUCCUGACUAACUACUGUUUUGGAUUGGCCUCUGGCCUAGGUCUCCUGGAAUCUUCUUUUGGAAGUCAAGGUUUACCCCCGCGCUAAAAACGAUGCUCCAGCCUGUUUGAACACCCUUUCUGCAUCCAUUCUGCAGGCCAGGAGUGGGAGGAAACCGUGUAAUUGCGGUAUUUCAGGACCCGCCCGGGGCUAGCUGGAACUGAACACACGCAGUGGACUCUUGAUUAUCCCUGCUAAUAGAGGGAAUGGUAGUUCAGACCACACGCAUUGUUUCUGGACUUUGAAGUGCGUUACGUGAUUUCCUUUUUUUUCCUUUUUGAACGCAGUAGCAGGUGGUUUAUUGUGAAUGAUGGUGAAGUUACUUUCCUAUUGCCUGUGUUUGGGGUGGGAAAACUGUGAGAGGUUACCAUUCCCUUCUUUCCUCCUCUGCCCCCAGGCUCACCUGGGAUGAACUCCUCCUGAUUUCCUAUCAUACGUUCCUUUUCAUUUUCCCCUUCUCUUACCAGACUGAACUCUCUGGCAGCUGUGGAAGGGGUAAGGCUCACUUGACACAGAAUUAAUGGAAGGAAUGUACUCUUAGGUACUUACCCUGAAAUAGGAGCCAACCUCAAAGCUAAGGAGAUAAAAAUGAUGAAUAUUUGUAUGAUCAGUAUUUACACAAGUAGAAUAAGUUCCAUGAUGCUGGGCAUUUACUGCUAUGAUCGCUUUGGUGGUGUGUCUUUUUGUUUGUUUUGUUUACUGCUUGCUGAAUCCCCAGGAUUUAGAACAGUGCUGAGUAUAUUUCAUCAGUUCAGUCACUCAGUCAUGUCCGACUCUUCGCAACCCCAUGGACUGCAGCAUGCCAGGCCUCCCUGUCCAUCACCAACUCCUGGAGUUUACUCAAACUCAUGUCCAUUGAGUCAGUGAUGCCAUCCAACCAUCUCAUAGUUAAUAAUAUGCUCUUAAUAAAGUUUGUGCACCAAAUGAAUGAA
This 1133-nucleotide long non-coding RNA is filed under the name Bos taurus (domestic cattle). RNAcentral describes it as "long non-coding RNA NONBTAT023866". The record is from RNAcentral. Lineage: Eukaryota; Metazoa; Chordata; Mammalia; Artiodactyla; Bovidae.